CAGUCGAGCGAACUGAUUAGAAGCUUGCUUCUAUGACGUUAGCGGCGGACGGGUGAGUAACACGUGGGCAACCUGCCUGUAAGACUGGGAUAACUCCGGGAAACCGGAGCUAAUACCGGAUAACAUUUUUUCUUGCAUAAGAGAAAAUUGAAAGAUGGUUUCGGCUAUCACUUACAGAUGGGCCCGCGGUGCAUUAGCUAGUUGGUGAGGUAACGGCUCACCAAGGCAACGAUGCAUAGCCCAACCGGAAAGGGUGAUCGGCCACACUGGGACUGAGACACGGCCCAGACUCCUACGGGAGGCAGCAGUAGGGAAUCUUCCGCAAUGGACGAAAGUCUGACGGAGCAACGCCGCGUGAGUGAUGAAGGCUUUCGGGUCGUAAAACUCUGUUGUUAGGGAAGAACAAGUACAAGAGUAACUGCUUGUACCUUGACGGUACCUAACCAGAAAGCCACGGCUAACUACGUGCCAGCAGCCGCGGUAAUACGUAGGUGGCAAGCGUUAUCCGGAAUUAUUGGGCGUAAAGCGCGCGCAGGCGGUUUCUUAAGUCUGAUGUGAAAGCCCACGGCUCAACCGUGGAGGGUCAUUGGAAACUGGGGAACUUGAGUGCAGAAGAAAAAAGCGGAAUUCCACGUGUAGCGGUGAAAUGCGUAGAGAUGUGGAGGAACACCAGUGGCGAAAGCGGCUUUUUGGUCUGUAACUGACGCUGAAGCGCGAAAGCGUGGGGAGCAAACAGGAUUAAAUACCCUGGUAGUCCACCCGUAAACAAUGAUUGCUAGCUGUUAGAGGGUUGCCCCCCUUUAUUGCUGCAGCUAACGCAUUAAGCACUCCCCCGGGGGAGUACGGUCGCGAGACUGAAGCUCAAACGAAUUGACUGGGGCCCGCCCAGCGCUGCAGCAGGUCCUUUAAUUCAAAGCAACGCGAGGAACGUAACAGGUCUGGGGUCGGCUGACACUCAA
Molecule: ribosomal RNA, 959 nt
Filed under: uncultured bacterium
Lineage: Bacteria
Description: bacterial SSU rRNA
Rfam family: Bacterial small subunit ribosomal RNA
Source: RNAcentral